RNAcentral lists this long non-coding RNA (559 nucleotides) under Daucus carota (carrot). RNAcentral's name for it is "long non-coding RNA (DCAR_LNC000977)". Lineage: Eukaryota; Viridiplantae; Streptophyta; Magnoliopsida; Apiales; Apiaceae. The record is from RNAcentral.
UGAGAUUUAAGACAAAGAAAAUAAAUUUCUGCGAACCUCAGAAUAAAGACAUAAUUUUCAGAAUAUUCAUCAAUAAAUCAGAGUUUGUUCUAAAAUCCAUAGCUCAAUAAUGUGCUUGUGAAAUGUGUGUGUGGUCAUGUUAAAUCAGAGAAUAUAAAAUUUCACAAUUUCGUAAUUAUAAGGUAGACUUUGAAUAAUUUAUUCAAACUCUCAAAACUUAGACUAGGACAUACUCUGAAGAUAAUCAAUAAAAUAAUCUACCCCCUUUUCCCUUUUUUUUUUUUUUUUUUUUUUUUUUUUUUUUUUUUUUUUUUUUUUUUUUUUUUUUUUUUUUUUUUUUUUUUUUUUUUUUUUUUUUUUUUUUUUUUUUUUUUUUUUUUUUUUUUUUUUUUUUUUUUUUUUUUUUUUUUUUUUCAGGACGCUUCUCAGUGUGAGUGAGGCACGACCUUUAAAUAUACUAUUGCAUUAGUAUUUCUCCAGUAAUCAGAGAUUGUGACUGGUCACCAUAGAUUAUAAAAUCUUAGCAAUUACUUAAUACCAGCAAAUGUUUGGUUCUUCC